GAUGAACGCUAGCGGCAGGCCUAACACAUGCAAGUCGAGGGAUAAGCCUUCGGGCUAAGACCGGCGCACGGGUGCGUAACGCGUAUACAAUCUGCCUUUUAUCCGGGGGAUAGCCCGAAGAAAUUUGGAUUAAUACCCUAUGGUAUAAGAGCACGGCAUCGUGCACUUAUUAAUGCUACGGCGGUAAAAGAUGAGUAUGCGUUCUAUUAGCUAGUUGGAGAGGUAACGGCUCCCCAAGGCGACGAUAGAUAGGGGUUCUGAGAGGGAUGUCCCCCACACUGGUACUGAGAUACGGACCAGACUCCUACGGAAGGAAGAAAUGAGGAAUAUUGGAAAAUGGUCGAAAGACUGAUCCAGCAAUGCCGCGUGCAGGAUGAGGGCCUUAGGGGUUGUAAACAGCUUUUGUAAGGGAAGAAGAAGGAGUACAUGUACUUUGAGGACAGUACAUAACAAAUAAGAAUCGGCUAACUCAAUG
This 475-nucleotide ribosomal RNA is filed under the name uncultured bacterium. Its description in RNAcentral is "partial 16S ribosomal RNA". It matches the Rfam family "Bacterial small subunit ribosomal RNA", at positions 28 to 507 of the family's 1533-position model. The record is from RNAcentral.